AGUGAACGCUGGCGGUAGGCCUAACACAUGCAAGUCGAACGGCAGCACAGUAAGAGCUUGCUCUUACGGGUGGCGAGUGGCGGACGGGUGAGGAAUACAUCGGAAUCUACUUUUUCGUGGGGGAUAACGUAGGGAAACUUACGCUAAUACCGCAUACGACCUACGGGUGAAAGCAGGGGAUCUUCGGACCUUGCGCGAUUGAAUGAGCCGAUGUCGGAUCAGCUAGUUGGCGGGGUAAAGGCCCACCAAGGCGACGAUCCGUAGCUGGUCUGAGGGGAUGAUCAGCCACACUGGAACUGAGACACGGUCCAGACUCCUACGGGAGGCAGCAGUGGGGAAUAUUGGACAAUGGGCGCAAGCCUGAUCCAGCCAUACCGCGUGGGUGAAGAAGGCCUUCGGGUUGUAAAGCCCUUUUGUUGGGAAAGAAAAGCAGCAGGUUAAUACCCCGCUGUUCUGACGGUACCCAAAGAAUAAGCACCGGCUAACUUCGUG
Molecule: ribosomal RNA, 492 nt
Filed under: uncultured bacterium
Lineage: Bacteria
Description: partial 16S ribosomal RNA
Rfam family: Bacterial small subunit ribosomal RNA
Source: RNAcentral